GGACACCGGGAUGGCCGGGAAGGUGGCGCUGCUCCUGUGGGGGGGACAGUUCAGGGACAGCGCCUAUGAACCAUUCCCGCGUGCUCCACUGUCCCCACAGUGCCACACUCACUGAGCACUGUCCUUUCUCCCUUCCAGCCCAGACCCUUGGCCUUGCUGGUGCUGAGACCACCCAGCUCCUGGUGGAGCCCCCCUGGAGGUCGGCAGUGCUGUGGGACCGGG
Long non-coding RNA from Melospiza melodia melodia, 222 nucleotides. RefSeq lists it as uncharacterized. NCBI's taxonomy places the organism in Eukaryota, Metazoa, Chordata, Aves, Passeriformes, Passerellidae. The transcript has 3 exons. The record is from RefSeq and is a predicted model, not a curated record.